UACGUAGGGUGCGAGCGUUGUCCGGAAUUACUGGGCGUAAAGAGCUCGUAGGUGGUUUGUCGCGUUGUUCGUGAAAUCUCACGGCUUAACUGUGAGCGUGCGGGCGAUACGGGCAGACUGGAGUACUGCAGGGGAGACUGGAAUUCCUGGUGUAGCGGUGGAAUGCGCAGAUAUCAGGAAGAACACCCGUGGCGAAGGCGGCUUUCUGGGACGGUACUGACGCUGAGACGCGAAAGCGUGGGGAGCGAACAGG
This 253-nucleotide ribosomal RNA is filed under the name uncultured bacterium. Its description in RNAcentral is "partial 16S ribosomal RNA". It matches the Rfam family "Bacterial small subunit ribosomal RNA", at positions 524 to 776 of the family's 1533-position model. The record is from RNAcentral.